AGGCGAAACGGCGGGCUGGGUUCUUCCCCCUUUUUCAGCCCGCCGUCUUCCGUGUGUGGCGGCGCGGAACCGAUGAGCCAGCCAAAG
This 87-nucleotide non-coding RNA is filed under the name Treponema sp. Lineage: Bacteria; Pseudomonadati; Spirochaetota; Spirochaetia; Treponematales; Treponemataceae. The record is from RNAcentral.